RNAcentral lists this ribosomal RNA (492 nucleotides) under uncultured bacterium. Its description in RNAcentral is "partial 16S ribosomal RNA". It matches the Rfam family "Bacterial small subunit ribosomal RNA", at positions 29 to 507 of the family's 1533-position model. The record is from RNAcentral.
AGUGAACGCUGGCGGUAGGCCUAACACAUACAAGUCGAACGGCAGCACAGUAAGAGCUUGCUCUUACGGGUGGCGAGUGGCGGACGGGUGAGGAAUACAUCGGAAUCUACUUUUUCGUGGGGGAUAACGUAGGGAAACUUACGCUAAUACCGCAUACGACCUACGGGUGAAAGCAGGGGAUCUUCGGACCUUGCGCGAUUGAAUGAGCCGAUGUCGGAUUAGCUAGUUGGCGGGGUAAAGGCCCACCAAGGCGACGAUCCGUAGCUGGUCUGAGAGGAUGAUCAGCCACACUGGAACUGAGACACGGUCCAGACUCCUACGGGUGGCAGCAGUGGGGAAUAUUGGACAAUGGGCGCAAGCCUGAUCCAGCCAUACCGCGUGGGUGAAGAAGGCCUUCGGGUUGUAAAGCCCUUUUGUUGGGAAAGAAAAGCAGCAGGUUAAUACCCCGCUGUUCUGACGGUACCCAAAGAAUAAGCACCGGCUAACUUCGUG